GGUUAAGCGACUAAGCGUACACGGUGGAUGCCCUGGCAGUCAGAGGCGAUGAAGGACGUGCUAAUCUGCGAAAAGCGUCGGUAAGGUGAUAUGAACCGUUAUAACCGGCGAUGUCCGAAUGGGGAAACCCAGUGUGAUUCGUCACACUAUCGUUAACUGAAUACAUAGGUUAACGAGGCGAACCGGGGGAACUGAAACAUCUAAGUACCCCGAGGAAAAGAAAUCAACCGAGAUUCCCCCAGUAGCGGCGAGCGAACGGGGAGCAGCCCAGAGUCUGAAUCAGCUUGUGUGUUAGUGGAACGGUCUGGAAAGUCCGACGGUACAGGGUGAUAGUCCCGUACACCAAAAUGCACAGGUUGUGAACUCGAAGAGUAGGGCGGGACACGUGGUAUCCUGUCUGAAUAUGGGGGGACCAUCCUCCAAGGCUAAAUACUCCUGACUGACCGAUAGUGAACCAGUACCGUGAGGGAAAGGCGAAAAGAACCCCGGCGAGGGGAGUGAAAAAGAACCUGAAACCGUGUACGUACAAGCAGUGGGAGCACCUUCGGGUGUGACUGCGUACCUUUUGUAUAAUGGGUCAGCGACUUAUAUUCUGUAGCAAGGUUAACCGUAUAGGGGAGCCGCAGGGAAACCGAGUCUUAACUGGGCGUUAAGUUGCAGGGUAUAGACCCGAAACCCGGUGAUCUAGCCAUGGGCAGGUUGAAGGUUGGGUAACACUAACUGGAGGACCGAACCGACUAAUGUUGAAAAAUUAGCGGAUGACUUGUGGCUGGGGGUGAAAGGCCAAUCAAACCGGGAGAUAGCUGGUUCUCCCCGAAAGCUAUUUAGGUAGCGCCUCGUGAACUCAUCUUCGGGGGUAGAGCACUGUUUCGGCUAGGGGGUCAUCCCGACUUACCAACCCGAUGCAAACUACGAAUACCGAAGAAUGUUAUCACGGGAGACACACGGCGGGUGCUAACGUCCGUCGUGAAGAGGGAAACAACCCAGACCGCCAGCUAAGGUCCCAAAGUCAUGGUUAAGUGGGAAACGAUGUGGGAAGGCACAGACAGCCAGGAUGUUGGCUUAGAAGCAGCCAUCAUUUAAAGAAAGCGUAAUAGCUCACUGGUCGAGUCGGCCUGCGCGGAAGAUGUAACGGGGCUAAACCAUGCACCGAAGCUGCGGCAGCGACACUAUGUGUUGUUGGGUAGGGGAGCGUUCUGUAAGCCUGCGAAGGUGUGCUGUGAGGCAUGCUGGAGGUAUCAGAAGUGCGAAUGCUGACAUAAGUAACGAUAAAGCGGGUGAAAAGCCCGCUCGCCGGAAGACCAAGGGUUCCUGUCCAACGUUAAUCGGGGCAGGGUGAGUCGACCCCUAAGGCGAGGCCGAAAGGCGUAGUCGAUGGGAAACAGGUUAAUAUUCCUGUACUUGGUGUUACUGCGAAGGGGGGACGGAGAAGGCUAUGUUAGCCGGGCGACGGUUGUCCCGGUUUAAGCAUGUAGGCUGAUUGUCCAGGCAAAUCCGGAUAAUCAAGGCUGAGGUGUGAUGACGAGGCACUACGGUGCUGAAGUAACAAAUGCCCUGCUUCCAGGAAAAGCCUCUAAGCAUCAGGUAACAUCAAAUCGUACCCCAAACCGACACAGGUGGUCAGGUAGAGAAUACCAAGGCGCUUGAGAGAACUCGGGUGAAGGAACUAGGCAAAAUGGUGCCGUAACUUCGGGAGAAGGCACGCUGGUGUGUAGGUGAAGUCCCUGCGGAUGGAGCUGAGACCAGUCGAAGAUACCAGCUGGCUGCAACUGUUUAUUAAAAACACAGCACUGUGCAAACACGAAAGUGGACGUAUACGGUGUGACGCCUGCCCGGUGCCGGAAGGUUAAUUGAUGGGGUUAUCCGUAAGGAGAAGCUCUUGAUCGAAGCCCCGGUAAACGGCGGCCGUAACUAUAACGGUCCUAAGGUAGCGAAAUUCCUUGUCGGGUAAGUUCCGACCUGCACGAAUGGCGUAAUGAUGGCCAGGCUGUCUCCACCCGAGACUCAGUGAAAUUGAACUCGCUGUGAAGAUGCAGUGUACCCGCGGCAAGACGGAAAGACCCCGUGAACCUUUACUAUAGCUUGACACUGAACAUUGAGCCUUGAUGUGUAGGAUAGGUGGGAGGCUUUGAAGCGUGGACGCCAGUCUGCGUGGAGCCAACCUUGAAAUACCACCCUUUAAUGUUUGAUGUUCUAACGUUGGCCCCUUACCGGGGUUGCGGACAGUGUCUGGUGGGUAGUUUGACUGGGGCGGUCUCCUCCCAAAGCGUAACGGAGGAGCACGAAGGUUAGCUAAUCCUGGUCGGACAUCAGGAGGUUAGUGCAAUGGCAUAAGCUAGCUUGACUGCGAGCGUGACGGCGCGAGCAGGUGCGAAAGCAGGUCAUAGUGAUCCGGUGGUUCUGAAUGGAAGGGCCAUCGCUCAACGGAUAAAAGGUACUCCGGGGAUAACAGGCUGAUACCGCCCAAGAGUUCAUAUCGACGGCGGUGUUUGGCACCUCGAUGUCGGCUCAUCACAUCCUGGGGCUGAAGUAGGUCCCAAGGGUAUGGCUGUUCGCCAUUUAAAGUGGUACGCGAGCUGGGUUUAGAACGUCGUGAGACAGUUCGGUCCCUAUCUGCCGUGGGCGCUGGAGAAUUGAGGGGGGCUGCUCCUAGUACGAGAGGACCGGAGUGGACGCAUCACUGGUGUUCGGGUUGUCAUGCCAAUGGCACUGCCCGGUAGCUAAAUGCGGAAGAGAUAAGUGCUGAAAGCAUCUAAGCACGAAACUUGCCCCGAGAUGAGUUCUCCCUGAGACUUUAAGUCUCCUGAAGGAACGUU
This 2816-nucleotide ribosomal RNA is filed under the name Klebsiella pneumoniae. Its description in RNAcentral is "partial 23S ribosomal RNA". It matches the Rfam family "Bacterial large subunit ribosomal RNA". The record is from RNAcentral. Lineage: Bacteria; Pseudomonadati; Pseudomonadota; Gammaproteobacteria; Enterobacterales; Enterobacteriaceae. RNAcentral also lists the same sequence under 1 other name.